GACGAACGCUGGCGGCGUGCCUAACACAUGCAAGUCGAACGGAGCACUUCGGUGCUUAGUGGCGAACGGGUGAGUAACGCGUGAGGAACCUGCCUUUCAGUGGGGGACAACAGUUGGAAACGACUGCUAAUACCGCAUGAUAUAGCGAGGAGGCAUCUCUUUGCUAUCAAAGAUUUUAUCGCUGUAAGAUGGGCUCGCGUAUGAUUAGAUAGUUGGUGAGGUAACGGCUCACCAAGUCGACGAUCAUUAGCCGGACUGAGAGGUUGAACGGCCACAUUGGGACUGAGAUACGGCCCAGACUCCUACGGGAGGCAGCAGUGGGGAAUAUUGGGCAAUGGGGGGAAACCCUGACCCAGCAACGCCGCGUGAAGGAAG
RNAcentral lists this ribosomal RNA (375 nucleotides) under uncultured bacterium. Its description in RNAcentral is "bacterial SSU rRNA". It matches the Rfam family "Bacterial small subunit ribosomal RNA", at positions 28 to 410 of the family's 1533-position model. The record is from RNAcentral.